This 432-nucleotide unclassified non-coding RNA is filed under the name soil metagenome. Its description in RNAcentral is "partial contains 5.8S ribosomal RNA, internal transcribed spacer 2, and large subunit ribosomal RNA". The stretch from base 1 to 120 matches the Rfam family "5.8S ribosomal RNA", at positions 35 to 154 of the family's 154-position model. The record is from RNAcentral.
GAUGAAGAACGUAGCGAAAUGCGAUACGUAAUGUGAAUUGCAGAAUUCAGUGAAUCAUCGAAUCUUUGAACGCAUAUUGCGCUCUCUGGUAUUCCGGAGAGCAUGCUUGUUUGAGUAUCAGUAAACACCUCAACUUCCAUAUCUUUUUUGAAAUGGGAGUUGGACUUGAGUGAUCCCAACGCUUUUCCUCACCGAAAAGUGGCGGGUUACUUGAAAUGCAGGUGCAGCUGGACUUUUCUCUGAGCUAUAAGCAUAUCUAUUUAGUCUGCCUAAAGAACAGAUUAUUACCUUUGCUGCAGCUAACAUAAAGGAGAUUAGUUCUUGUGCUGACUGAUGCAGGAUUCACAGAGACAGCUUCGGCUGACUUUGUAAACUCGAUCUCAAAUCAAGUAAGACUACCCGCUGAACUUAAGCAUAUCAAUAAGCGGAGGA